AUGUCCAUAGCGUUGCAUCUCAUUGGAUUGCACAAGUUGAGAAACACCAGAUGUGCUCAGGGAAACAUUGGUUAUUUUGUCUCCUCUAUCUGAUCUCAUAGAUGAAGCUACUUUAACAGGAUUUCCCUUCUUAGCAGUUUCUUUUGCUGUCGACUUACCUGAAGCUCGUCUAGUUUUACGCUCAGAACUACCUUUUGAAGCACCACGUGCAAUAGCUACAUCAGAAACCUUUGAACUUCCCCGAGAAAGAUCUUGAGCAAUCUUGGGAUCCAAUUGGCCUAAGCCAGAGGUUGAAGUAGAUCCAUCCACAAUCGGGGAUGCUUUGCCAGCUUCUAUAUUUGAAAAGGGCUGCCAUUUCUUGGCAUCUUUUUGAGGCGGAUCUGCCAGUGGAGUGACCUCAAAAGUGAAGCUACUAUCAUCUUUAGAGGCAUCAUUUUGAUUUGGAUCCUUAGAAGCAGACUGCAUUUUGAUGGCAUUGCCAUCAGUUACCUCAGAAACUGAAACACCCUGGUUUGACAAUAUUUUGAGUUCCUCCUUAUUACUUUGAUCACAAGAAAGCUCAGUAGUUCUAAUGACAGCAGGGGAACCACCAGCUGGCUUGUCAAGAUCAUCACUGCGUUCAUGUACUACUGAAACAUUUUUAGUUUUUUUGUCAUCAUUUACUAGUGCUUCAAUGCUGUAUUCCUGGUUUGUAAUUGAACCACAAUGAAUUGGACACACUUCUUCAUCCUUUGUGUCAUGGCCAUCUUUUUCUAUCACUACUGCUUGGCAUUCAAUUCGGCUUUCUGUAUUACGAGCAUCCACUACUGACAGAGAAUGAUCAACUGGCUCACACAGCACCUCUUCAGCAGCAGCAGAAGAUUCCUUUUCAGAUUCAGAAACAGGAUCUACUCCAGUUGUCACUUGACUAGAUGCCUUAUGAUCAGAUAAACUUGCUUCCGUGGAAAUCUUGGCAACAGUUUCUUCCUCUUUAUCUGAGUAAGUAAACACUGCAGGUAAACCUGACACUUCAAAAUCCUUGUGAUCAACAACCACAUCAGUAGUAAUGCAAUUCUCAGAGGACACUGGAGCAUCACCCACUGUAUUACAGGAUAAGUUAGCAUCUUUGAAGGUGAAAUCUGAUGCUGAUUCACUUACAGCAGUGGUAUCUGAUUGAGGUUUAGAAACUAUCAACUCAAUUUCUAUGCUACCUUCACCGAAAGAAGAGGUCCCAACUCCUUUAUCAAUGAUUAUAUCUCUAUUACUAUCAUCAGAAGGCAACUCCACGAUCCCUUUUUGCUCAAUAACAGGAACAUCUUUAUCACAUUUGUCAACGUCGCAUUGUCUGGGGACCUUAUUUUCUUCAUCCAUUUGCAUGGAUUCAACAAUUGCCGAUGGCAAAACAUGGCCUUCAACAUGUGUGUUACUAACAAACUCAGCUGAAGAACAGACCUCAGGCAAACUAGAAUUAAUGGCUCCAUGGCUACUGCUUUCAUCCACUUUAUCUUCAGAACAUUUAUUGUCUUCUGUAGGCAACAGACAUGCCCCAGACUUACUCACUAAGUUCUUGGCGUCCAAGUGGGACCCAUUAGACUUCUCAACUUCAUGCCUUUCAGCUGUAGCAUUUCCUUCAACCACCACAGAUGGUACUUCAUGUGCAUCUACUCCAGAAUGAACAUACUGCAUCUCUAAGCCAGAAUAACCCUUGGGUAUUACACUAGGAUCCUCCACGCUGCCCAUGCUAGUUUCAAUUGCACUUGUUUCUUCCAUAGAUUCUACAGAGGCCAUACAAAGAGGAUUGUCCAAAUACGAAGAGUCCCUUUCAGCCAUUUCUGCACUCAAAACCUGAGCAUGCAUUUGAGCCCCUUGGCUUAAUACACCCCCUUCCUCCUGAUACUCACCCUUAUCUGUUCCUGAAAGAUCUAGAUUUUCAUCGGCAAUCUCAUUUACAUGAUUUGAUGAACCUUCAUUAAUCAAUCCAUCAUUUCCCUUAAUGAUAUUUUUUGCAUUAGCAAAUGCAUUAUUAAUUUGUGUCGCUGAAGCAGAACCUUCUUGUGUCCUGUUAUCUAAAGAUUCAUUAAUAACAGUAUCGCCUUCCCUUUGAUUAAUUUCAUUACAUUUAUCAUCAAUGAACUGACUCCCCUCAGCAAUGGGUAACCUGACGUCUACACUAAUAGCAGUUAGGUCACCUAAACCUGGAUCAACAGAUGCAAUGGCUUGAUGAGCCUGUGAACUAUCCCUAACUUGAGGCUGCUGCCCACCACCAUCAUCAUUUAACACAGAAAAAUUUUCAGGAAAUUCACCUGGCUGUAAUGUGGGCUGCAAAUUAGUAACACCUACCACUCUAGCUGGUAUAUUAGUAUCCUGUUUUGAGCUGGGCUCCAUUUGCUUUAUUAUGCAACCCAGUUCAUCACAGGCAUCCGACUCCUUUGAACUAAUUUGUGCAGGAAUAUGUUCUUCCUGGCCAACAGAUUUUAAUAACAUUUCAACAGAUUCUGAGGAAGUUGCCUCAGACCAGACAUUGUUGCACCUAGAAAUUGAGCAAGACUCUGCACCACCUGAAUUGAACUGUAUCCCACUGCUACCCCGGGAGAAAUCUUCAAUCCACUGGCUAUCUUCGUUACUUUCAAUGCCCAGAAAAACCUCAGUUUCAACCAAACUGUCAAACCUCAAAUUUCCGUGAAGACUGUCAUCAAAAUCAAACUUUGGAAGAGCAUAUGGCCGUAGAACAGGAGGAAAUUUAUUGCUCCCUUCACCAGCUAAAUGAAGAUUCUGGCUGUGAAAAUCAUUGUCAUCAUAAUCCAUGGGUGUAUGCCUCCCUCCAUCCGGUGACGAAAUCCAGGCCGGUUGAUCCUCAACUGUUCCCCAAUCGUAAGCUCAUCUACUGUUCCACAAAAAUCACGAUGAAAAAGCUGAUAUUAGCCCUCCUAACUCCUAAAUUUGCUCACUUUCAGCUAAAGGAAAAACCUAAUCAAGUAACACAAAACAACCAAACACAAACAAUUUCUGCUCACUAAAGACUGUAUACUCAACGGAAUCUUUAAUUCUCCGGCGGAUCAAGCUAGGGUUUCGGUUAAUCGAAAGAUGGAAAGGCCAAGCAAGGUAGGUACAAAGAUAGAGAGAGAGAGUGAUAUUUUUUUCUCUAGGGAAAUGAAAACGGGCUC
Molecule: unclassified non-coding RNA, 3143 nt
Filed under: Hevea brasiliensis (rubber tree)
Lineage: Eukaryota; Viridiplantae; Streptophyta; Magnoliopsida; Malpighiales; Euphorbiaceae
Source: RNAcentral